AAAUUCAAGUUGUGUAAUAAAGAGAAGAUAUUAUGAAGGUAGUGGAUCUCGACAGGGUUGAUAUGAGAACACAUUUGCAAUCAACGGCUGUAAUGACGAUCAUGUAAUUGUUACAUCUCUCGUUUUCAUGUGUUCUCAGGUCACCCCUGCUGAGCUCUUUCUCUACCGUUUUCAAGUAAUAACGCCGUGGCUUUAUUCAUAUACCCAAUGGUAAGUUUCUAUGUAAUUUCGAAACCUGUAGUAUUAUUACAAAUGAAAUAACAAAUAAAAACAUUGUAAUUCUUAGUAAACUUACGUACCUACGUGUGAUAUAUGCUAUGACUAUGAAUGGGGAACGAGCUAUUUAAUUGUCUUGCUCUUGCUCUUUGUCCUUUAACAAGAUCGACUGCCAAAGAAACAGAGGAAGCAAGAAACCCACAAUGAGCUCAUUAAUAUGUUUGUGAUGUUAAUUUCUUAAUUUAACCGAUGACUGAGAAGAAAGGUUUACUUCGCGGAGGAGGCGGAGAGCGGCAGGACGAGUGAACUU
RNAcentral lists this long non-coding RNA (526 nucleotides) under Capsella grandiflora. RNAcentral describes it as "long non-coding RNA (CGRA_LNC001031)". The stretch from base 43 to 159 matches the Rfam family "MIR398 microRNA precursor family". Lineage: Eukaryota; Viridiplantae; Streptophyta; Magnoliopsida; Brassicales; Brassicaceae. The record is from RNAcentral.